This 72-nucleotide transfer RNA is filed under the name Camelus bactrianus (Bactrian camel). It matches the Rfam family "tRNA". From Rfam's summary of the family: Transfer RNA (tRNA) molecules are approximately 80 nucleotides in length. Lineage: Eukaryota; Metazoa; Chordata; Mammalia; Artiodactyla; Camelidae. RNAcentral also lists the same sequence under 1 other name. The record is from Rfam by way of RNAcentral.
GAGUGUAUAGCUCAGUGGUAGAGCGUGUGUUUAGCGUACACAAGGUUCUGGGUUCAAACUCUAGUACCUCCA